Molecule: ribosomal RNA, 228 nt
Filed under: uncultured bacterium
Lineage: Bacteria
Description: partial 16S ribosomal RNA
Rfam family: Bacterial small subunit ribosomal RNA
Source: RNAcentral
CGUGUAGGCGGAAUGUUAAGUCAGAUGUGAAAGCCCACAGCUCAACUGUGGAACUGCAUUUGAAACUGGCAAUCUAGAGUGCUGGAGAGGGAAGGGGAAUUCCAGGUGUAGAGGUGAAAUUCGUAGAUAUCUGGAGGAAUACCGGUGGCGAAGGCGCCUUCCUGGACAGACACUGACGCUGAGACGCGAAGCGUGGGGAGCAAACAGGAUUAGAUACCCUGGUAGUCC